RNAcentral lists this ribosomal RNA (377 nucleotides) under uncultured organism. Its description in RNAcentral is "partial 16S ribosomal RNA". It matches the Rfam family "Bacterial small subunit ribosomal RNA", at positions 527 to 896 of the family's 1533-position model. The record is from RNAcentral.
GUAGGUGGCAAGCGUUGUCCGGAAUUAUUGGGCGUAAAGCGCGCGCAGGCGGUCCUUUAAGUCUGAUGUGAAAGCCCACGGCUCAACCGUGGAGGGUCAUUGGAAACUGGGGGACUUGAGUACAGAAGAGGAAAGCGGAAUUCCAAGUGUAGCGGUGAAAUGCGUAGAGAUUUGGAGGAACACCAGUGGCGAAGGCGGCUUUCUGGUCUGUAACUGACGCUGAGGCGCGAAAGCGUGGGGAGCAAACAGGAUUGGGAUACCCUGGUAGUCCACGCCGUAAACGACGAGUGCUAAGUGUUAGGGGGUUUCCCGCCCCCCUUAGUGCUGCAGCUAACGCAUUAAGCACUCCGCCUGGGGGAGUACGGCCCGCAAGGCUG